AUGGCUAAUGCACGUAAUUAAGUACGGGGUGUUACAGAUUCCUAUCGUGUUUUAAGAGUAAGCUAUAGUAUUAUGUGCUUCCGGCUAGGUUGAGCUAUAAGCAAAUCAGCAAACGUACCGAUUCAUGGUUAAGAAAGUUGCAUCACCUUUGAUACCUAAAUUCUUUCCCCAGAUAAGUUGUCUGUAUCUUCAUUUUUCCUGUGUAAUCUUAUUCUUGGUUAAUAACUGAUUUCAGUAAAAGAGUCUGCUCUAGUAAUCUCCAAUUAUAGAAGUGACAUUGACUGACUUGUUGGAUGGGUUCUAGCUCAGGUGCUUGUCUACUUCAAAUUAAGUUUUUCUAUUUCCUGAAGCAGUGAAUUGUUGCUUUUUCUUGAUGCAUUCAAAAUCCCCCUUUUUUAUGCUUCCAUUUCUUAAGUGAAGAGCCUACAAGUUGUAAUGAAAGGUUGAGAAACUCCCUAGAGCAUAUCGUAACAAAGUGAUCACUAUCUACUCUCAUUCAUUUGAUAAGUUUAAAAAUCCGCGCAUUAUAGGAAAGUAAGUUGUUAUAUUUUCACUCAUUAAAGUACUUGAAUUUUUCACCUUAGUUAGACAUUUUAAUCUUGAGAUUAAAGAAAAAAUUUAGUAUCUUUUACUUAUUUAAAACUUAUAAUAGUUGCUAUCUUCCAUUUCAUCCUUCCUCUCUCGGUUCUCGCUCCAUCUGAUCUUAUGCUUAAAACUAUCUCUGCGGAAAGCAUAUACAGUAAAAUUACUGCAUCCAAGAUCCGACUACAAAUUAAUUUAUUUCUCUGUUUCUUUUGUUCCAAAAAAAUAAAAGAAGAUUUUAAACAAGAAAUUCUGCUAUGUUUAUUCAUUACUUUUUAGCAAUCAAUGACAUCCAUACAUCCAAAAACAGACAACAAAGCUACACAAGAAUAAGAAAUAAUCUCAUAUUCUAACAAAAAAAUACACACAAACGUCACCACAAUAAGCUUAAAAAAAAGAAGGAAGCACACAUAAAUGAGAAGAAUUUUUUUUGAAAAAAAAAUGGUAUUCAAGAAUUUCGCAUUUCAACUUGUAACAGUAGAAAAAUAAGUUAAUUAAAAAAAAUAAAAUAAUGGGUAUUCAAGAAUCCAUUUUAUGCCUUUUAACAUAACAACACAAAGAAAUCAAUAAAAUAAGCCUUUUUUUUUUUAAAAAAAAAAAGUAGAGAGAAAGGUAAUCAAUAAUCUCACUUUCCAACUUAUAACACCACAAAAAGAAAAACUUAAUUUCAUCGAGGGGGGAAGGUUGAAAACAGAUUAGGAAGAAAAUUACCUAUGCGGCUUGUUGAGGAUGAUUGAACAAAUAGCCGAUUAUAAGUAAAAUGGUGCUCUUAUUUAUACAAUUCAAGUGCAGAAAUUUCUGUAUUCUAGAAAAGUCUUUCACUUCAUUUUUGUAGUAAUAAUGGAAUACAGAUGGUUGGUUCUUAGUUUAUAUGUGGCAGAGAAAGCUUGAAAUAUCCUAGAUUUU
This 1488-nucleotide long non-coding RNA is filed under the name Capsicum annuum. Its description in RNAcentral is "long non-coding RNA (CANN_LNC021412)". The record is from RNAcentral. Lineage: Eukaryota; Viridiplantae; Streptophyta; Magnoliopsida; Solanales; Solanaceae.